AUUAUACUCCCUCCGUCCCAAAAUUCUUGUCUUAGAUUUGUCUAAAUAUGAAUGUAUCUAGUCACGUUUUAGUAUUUAGAUACAUUAAUUUAUAGACAAACCUAAGACAAGAAUUUUGAGAUGGAGGGAGUAGAUA
RNAcentral lists this microRNA precursor (136 nucleotides) under Hordeum vulgare. RNAcentral's name for it is "microRNA MIR1122". It matches the Rfam family "MIR1120/MIR1122 microRNA precursor family". The record is from RNAcentral. Lineage: Eukaryota; Viridiplantae; Streptophyta; Magnoliopsida; Poales; Poaceae.